Papaver somniferum (opium poppy) is the source of this 2382-nucleotide long non-coding RNA. RefSeq lists it as uncharacterized. The record is from RefSeq and is a predicted model, not a curated record. The transcript is spliced from 5 exons. NCBI's taxonomy places the organism in Eukaryota, Viridiplantae, Streptophyta, Magnoliopsida, Ranunculales, Papaveraceae.
GGUUUGGAAUGGAAUUUGUUGCGAGUCUAGAGAUUUCGGGAGUGUGGAAAAAGCAACAAGCCAACAACAGCCGGCACUUGGCAGUGUAGCUCUUUCCGCCAAAAUAGUAUCCCUAAAGCAGCAGAUAUUAGUGAUACAGAUCCUUCUUUAGCACUUUCUGAAGGUGAAAGGGUUUUUGCUCAUCAUGGUCCUCUCAUUUGCGAAGCUAAGGGUUGGAAUAACAAACAAAACAAGUGAGAUGAGUGGGUAGCAUUGAACUUUUGUUGAAAUUCACUGAAGAGAACAAGAAACUGCAGGAGGAACUUAAACUAGAGCAGCAGGUUAUGGAAAAGAAUCCCAGGCCAGGGUGUUUAUCAAACAUGAAGCCAAAAAGUUGUACUGGUGACCUCUACGCUCUUCCGGAACUAACAAUCGUCUAUUAAAUUAGCUUGUGAUAAAUGCAAAAAUGGAUCAAGAGGAUACUAUAAAAUAUGGUCAUGCAGACUAUUUCAAUAUGUAAAGCUUCAUAUGUUUUGUGAUGAUGAAAGGUGGAUAUCAUUUAUUUCUACGCAUCUUGUGUCAGCCUUUUUGUUUAAGUUUAAAGAAUGCUAUUUACUCACUGUUGAAUUUGAUCUCUUUCCCAUAGUUUAUUCCAGAGCAACUGGUUCAUAUGAGAGAGCCUAUGAUCUAGGUUUUGAAACAAGUAUUUUAGGGUUUCAUUUCUUAUUUGGAAAGUGGCAAUGACAGCAGUUAACUCUUGGAAGUAUGCACAUCUUAAUCCCAUCUAAAACGGAACAUGAACCUUUGCUGCUCGCAAACCCAACACUCAUAGAUUGUUACCAAAACUGGAUGACAAGUCUAUCUCAUUUCCAAGCUCUUUAAGCUUGAUAUAUAUAGAAUCUCUGAUUAAAAUAAGCUAAGGGACGAUGAUGCUCAUCAGUUACCUAGAAGAUAGUCCGUUCAUUGCUGUGAAACCUUGUGUCUUAGAGCAUUCUAUCAUGCUGUGCAGUUGUUUCUAGCAUGCCUUCUCUGGAAGUGCAGAUACAUGUAUGGAAAUGGCUGUAUCUGCUGCCUCAUCGAUAGCUUAAUUUUUUUUUGAAAGGGCUCACCAGUCACCUCUGCCCAUCUUGCAAAAGCUCAUUUACCGACAGUUCGAGAUCAAUAACUGGGAUAGUAGAGCUAAAUUGGUAGGUAAGGUGGGAUUUGGAAGUUGGCCAUCUUGGGCUUCCUUGGAAGAAGCUGUAGAGCGAGACACUGUGCAGUUAGCUGCUCCAUUAGUAUGCUUCUUCUUAUCUGAUCUCAUGGAAGUCAUGCCAUUGACAAUGUCUGGGACUCCAUAUCUAGGCAUCCUCAUCUGUUUCACGGUUUGGGCAUCCAGCUUUUCGGUGGCUUUGAACAUCAUCACCAUGUAGUUUCCUUUUUCUGGAUCCAAAUAAGAUGGUAGGAUACAUGAUGUCUUUUGAUUCUCAGCUGUGCUCAAGCCCUAGCAGAUGACCAACAUCAUGUACAGCAACUGUUCUAUGUCCAUCAUGUCUUGCCAUGGAUUAGUACUCCAACUCUCUUCUGCAUUGAAAUGAAGCCUUCCAUCUGUUGGUGAAAAAGAAUGAGCAAAUAGUCCACCAGGUCCUUCAAAGCUGGAACAUCACCAUGAUCAGCGCUUUAAAAUCUACUCAAAAUGUCUGCCUCAUCAAUGGCUUUGUAAAAUUUGAAAUGGCUCACCUCUGCCCAUCCUGCAAAAGCUCGUUUACUGACAGUUCUCAAAGUUUUGAGAUCAGUAACUGGGAGGGUACAGCUGAAUUGAUAGGUAGAGUGAGACUGUGUCUGGGAGUCCACAUCCUCAUCUGUUUCACUGUUUGAGCAUCCAGCUUUCCAGUAGCUUUGAGAUGGUAAUUGAGUUGGAAACCAAAAGCUUGGAAACCUUUUGUGGGCAGAAGUAGGUGUGGAAUUAUGGCUAGCAAUAAGAGCAAAAUAAAGGGUGCUAUCUGAAGAAGAGAAGCUGCUGCUUUGGGGUUUGUCAUUGCUGGCUUUGAAAUGGGGAAAGGCUAAGAAAUGGAACACGUUCUGUAUGUUUUUGAGUUCCCUAAUUUUGAAUCAACCAUAUAUCAUGUUGAUCUUCACUUAACUUUCAGAAGAUCAAUCUCCCUGUCAGUUGGUUAUUAAGGACCAAAUGAUUUUUCUUGAAGGAACACGUUCUGUCUAGCAUACCAUUUUUAGACUUGAGAUUAUUCAGAAGAUCAAUCUCCCUGUCACUCGGUUAUUCUCAUUUUUUGUUGAGAAUAAUAAUACAUGGUGAAUAUUUGAGAGUAAAUUUCAGGUGACAAUGGUAUAAGUUCUUCAAUUUUAGAUGUAAUCCAAUUCUGUAUAAGUUUUUCUAAAUAGUGUUGAUUUGAUAUUUUCUUUUAA